GCCGCCGCCGCCGCCCCCUGCCGCCGCGCCCGGUCCGGCCCCGCCCGGCCCCGGCUUUUAAAGAGACCGCGGGUCCGCGCCCCGGCACGGCGCGGCUCCGGCAGAAGCCGUCGCUCCCUGCGCGUCCCGCGGCGGCGCGGACGCCUCCUCCGGGACGGCCGCCCUCCGAUCCCUGCGCUUCGGCGCCGCCGUUUCCGCGCCGACGAAGGCGGGGGAUUUCCGUCCCCGCGGCCCCGGCGGGGGAACGAGACCUGUUCGCCGGCACGCGCGGAGCCGUCCCGGGGCAGGAGACAACAGCAAGAUCCCUUUCCAAGGAGAUUGGCACAGAUUUAUACACCUGGUCACCCCUCUGACACUGCUCCCACCACUGGACAGAAGAAGCAAAGAGAAAAUAUUUUAAGAAAAAUGGAAAAAAGAAAAAACCUAUCGUAAAGGGUUAUGAUGCAUAUUUAAUGAAGGAGCCAAGAGAAGUGCCUGCCAUACAAAGGAGCUAAUCAGUCAAUCAAGAAUCAGCUCACCAGACAGAAGCCGUCAGCGCCUAACUUCUCCAUCUCCACCUGUCCAGAGAAACAACAAAACAGCAUGGAACAUGCCUGACAAUCGAGUGCAAAAGAGUGCAAGCAUUUAUGUAUUUCUAAGCAUUAAAGGGGCAAGACGUUGCAAAUUAAAAUUUUCAAAAAUAGAAACAACAAACCCAGCACCACACGUGUAUUGAUGUGCAUUUGAAGUAAGGCUGAGUGGCUGCCUUUCAUCCUUUUGAAAACACUAGCAGUCCUCACUAUGCAGAAGGGUAAGAGGCAAGAACUGCUAUAAUUGGACUAAAUUGAUUUUUUUUUUUUUUGCCAUAAACUUGCCAAUCUGGAUCAGUUAAGUGAAUGGUAACUUAGAGAACAAAAUACAUCUCUUAAAACCAAAAUCAGCAGAGUUACGGGAGCUGUAUGGCUUUCUAUUAUUAUAUUUCUAUUAUAUGGCCAAAGCAUAAGGGUCGUAAUCUUUACUUCCCAGGUCUAAUACUGGCUGACUGAGCAGGCUGAGGCAAAACACAUUUUAUCUGCCUCAAUUUCCCAGACUAGAAAAGGAUAACAUAGCCUACCCCAAUUAUAUGGAGAUGAUUCGGUUUUGCAGCUGGCUUCAUUAAUAUUCAUA
This 1146-nucleotide long non-coding RNA is filed under the name Phasianus colchicus (ring-necked pheasant). RNAcentral describes it as "lncRNA (ENSPCLG00000005921.1)". The record is from RNAcentral. Lineage: Eukaryota; Metazoa; Chordata; Aves; Galliformes; Phasianidae.